CAUCCAAUGCCACCACUGGGUGACCUCCAUUAUGUUUCUUAACCUCUUUGUGUGCCAAUCACCUCAUCUGGAAAAAUGGGAAUGGAGAAGAGUUGUACCUACCUAGGGUGGUUGCGUAAGCGUUUAAGGAGCAACUUCCUGUGAGACAUGGAGUCCAUGUGUGGCCCAUGGUGGGCUUCCGGAAAUGUGAUGACAGGGAUGAGGGAGCAACGGAGAGCCGGCAGUGAGGUGACGUGCCCAAGGUCACGCCACCAGCAGAAGCAGCUGAUCACGCUGCUGAGAGCUGGCAGGAAAUAGAUGCGGACAAAGCAGGGUUGGUUUUCAGCUUCUGUCCACGGAAAGGCCGGCUGAACUUUCCCUCACCACGCAGAAAUCGAUAAGCAGGAGGUUUUUAAAAACCACCUCCCCAUCGAACCUGCCACCGCCGGAGCUGAAGGCUGCGUGUUUUGUGGUCUGCCCAGCCCCAGGGGCACUUAGGGUGCGUCCACACUGGGUGUGCCAGUCAUGCACUUGGGCUGCAGACGCCCAGGAGGCAGAGCUGAGCCUGCCAAGGUUAUGUGUGCACCUCUCAGCUCCCUGCUUAACACUGCCUUCCCGGGAGAGAGAUUUCUCCCUGGCUGCUUCACAUCCCGAGAAGACCAUCAGCUCUCAGCAGAAAAUAAGGCCCUCUUCACCUGCCAAGUGGGCAACAGCAGUUACUCUCAUUGGAGUCCCUUUCCCUUCGCCACUUCCCAGGCUCCUCCAGACUGAAUGCAUUCAGGGAGUCACCUCCCAGGUCAAAACCUGCUGUGAUACCAUCAAACUGCAGCACAGACCACAGUCCCGAGCCUCCCAUUCUUGUCUCUAACACCAGCCUAGCCUGACCUGCUGCAGGGUGUGGCCUGUGACCACAUCUGCGCUCUGUCCACACUUCUUCGUCCAGCCUCCCAUGACGAUCCCCAGAGCAGCUCCCUGGGAUGCCCUCUUCUCAUCACUGCAUCUGCUGCCCACCCAGGGCCCUCCGACCUUACCCUCCCGCAGGCCCCUCCCAUCUGAGGUGCUCUGGAACGCCUGAGGUGUGAUUGUGCGUGAACUUUGACGUGCCUGCGUCCAUGCUCAAGAGCAGUCUUGCCUGAACCACCUUGUCUCUAAUAAUCAGCAUGAAACUCCUCAGAAGAAACAGAGAGGCCCCUCAGAACAUCACGGAAAAGACGAUGGCUCCAAAACAGCUAGAUUCUAAUUCCACCUCUGCUGCAGGGCGUGGUCCUCAGGAACAUCUGUGCCCCGUGCAUGUGAUGUGACCUCGCAAAAGCAUCCAUUUCCUCAUCUGGAAAACGGGACAAUUCCUGGACUCUGCGCACCUGGAAGUGACCAUGAGGGUCAAAUGAAUGUUUUUGGAACUGCAAACGCUGUUCAGAUGCUGGCGCCAUGACCAAAGACCUGGCUCUUACAUCUGCUCUGUUUUCAUGGGACACAGCCCUGGGUAUACAGUAGGUGCUUAAUGCAGGUGACCAUGAGGAAGGGCUGUAGCCCGUGGAGGGCAGGUGGGUGGGAUUCAGCUGGGGUCCUCAAAGUCUGCACCAUGGGAAAAGCUGACAGGCCCUCCUGCUGGGGCCCAGGCUGGGAGCCAGAGCCCCUCCUUUGGCCACUCUGUAGUGGAAGAACAAGGAGCACAUAGGAGGAGUGGCCCAGGCUCUCCAUUUGAGGACAUUUGAAGGGGACGAAAGGCCCUAGAAGCACUGGCAGAGCCUGAACGUGGCACUGUAGCCUCCUGCCAGCUGGAAAUGUGUCUGGGCAGUGUGUCUUAGCAUGGAAUCCACAACCAGCCAGCCUGGGGAGGGGAUGGGGCCUGGACCCCUGGCUGUACAGACGGAGAGCCAGAGGUGGUUGCAGGUUCCUAACCGACAGUGGAUCUGAUGAGGGGCCCGGCUUUCAUUUGUUGACAGGAGACGCAUGUCUGAGGCCAGAGCCAACUUCUUCCAGGGAACGGCUAAGAACCCCCGGGGGCGCUUCCUUCCUCCUCAAAGGACACAUGGGACGCAGAUGUACAGGAGGAUAGAGAGGGCUCAAGUGGUGAGCUGUGCAGGGGUCCUCACGCCCCAGCCCAGUCUUGGAUAUGGGGCUGGAGACUUAGGAAGUGAGUGCUGGGGUCCUGGGGUUCCUGCCUUCAGGAAGAUCUGAAGGAGCUUCCUGCAGGCCUUUCUUCGCAGUAUUCAUCCCAAACCCCGAAGCCUCCUUCCCCUGGCUCCAUGGUAGGAGCGGUUGCAUUCCCCUGUCUGAGAGGGGCCACCUCCUUCCUACCUGCUCAGGCUGGGCAGGGCUCAGGCUGAGGUCCAGACCCUCAUGCUAGCUUGGUGCUUGGCCAGAGCUGCAAAAUUGCAGCUGGGCUGCCUGCAGGAGGGCACCACUGAGGCUUUCUAGGCCCAGACAGGCCGAGAGAGUCCCUACCCUCCACCCCAGCCCCACCCUCCUCCUGAGGCCCCUGUCAUGGGUGUGGGUGACUCAAGAGGAGGUUCUGGUUUCUGUCUGAUUUUGCAGCUGAGGCAACCUGAUCCUGAAACAAUGACAAGCCUCAGAACGGUCCUUCCCACGCCCUCAGAGGAGCGUUUCAGGCCGGCCAAUAACACAGCAGAACGGAAAAUGACGUUGGGAGGGAAAGGUCAGGCGGCUAGGUCUCCCAUGGAAGGCAGCAGAUGGUUGCUCAGGCCAGAGGGCCAAGUGGUGCGAUCUGUGGGCACCGGCAGCUGGCAGUGACCCUGUAGAUCAACCUGGGUCCAGGCUGCAGACACCGAGCAGGGGCACCUGCCUGGCCUGGCUGCCUCAUGUGGUCCCCACAGCCUUGGCCGGGACACCUCAGGACCGUGGCCUGGCCUCUAGGCCAGCAGGCCAGCUCAGGGUACUAAAGCCUAAUUUACCUGGAGCCCUGGGCCACUCAUGGACACAGGAGGAAGGAGUGGGGUAGAGGUGGCAGAGGGAGAGCAAAGCCCAGCACACAGCAUUUGGCACCACAACCUAGGCAGCUGCUUUCCUUACAGAGCUGCCACUGACAGGAUCAGCACUUACAGAGCCCCUGCUGUAUGCCAGGAAGUACAUUUAUUAUUGCUUCUUGUCACAUUGGCCCUGCCAGGUAUGUACCCCAAACAUAAGCCCCAUUUCACAAAUAAAAAAGUUGAGGCUUCUGUGAUUAAGUAGAGG
Piliocolobus tephrosceles (Ugandan red Colobus) is the source of this 3174-nucleotide long non-coding RNA. Lineage: Eukaryota; Metazoa; Chordata; Mammalia; Primates; Cercopithecidae. The record is from Ensembl.